RNAcentral lists this ribosomal RNA (613 nucleotides) under Isaria sp. INBio_4065D. RNAcentral describes it as "eukaryotic LSU rRNA". The stretch from base 351 to 613 matches the Rfam family "Eukaryotic large subunit ribosomal RNA", at positions 1 to 266 of the family's 3401-position model. The record is from RNAcentral. Lineage: Eukaryota; Fungi; Ascomycota; Sordariomycetes; Hypocreales; Cordycipitaceae.
AAAACUUUCAACAACGGAUCUCUUGGUUCUGGCAUCGAUGAAGAACGCAGCGAAAUGCGAUAAGUAAUGUGAAUUGCAGAAUUCAGUGAAUCAUCGAAUCUUUGAACGCACAUUGCGCCCGCCAGCAUUCUGGCGGGCAUGCCUGUUCGAGCGUCAUUUCAACCCUCGAGCCCGACUCUUUUGAGGACGGCUCGGCGUUGGGGGACGGCAGACUCCCCCCGGCAUCUCGCCGGGGACGCCGCCCCCGAAAUCUAGUGGCGGCCCUCCGAGGCGACCUCUGCGUAGUAACUUGUUCUCGCACCGGAAAGCUCAGAUGCGGCCACGCCGUAAAACCCCAACUUUUUUCAGGUUGACCUCGAAUCAGGUAGGACUACCCGCUGAACUUAAGCAUAUCAAUAAGCGGAGGAAAAGAAACCAACAGGGAUUGCCCCAGUAACGGCGAGUGAAGCGGCAACAGCUCAAAUUUGAAAUCUGGCCCCUAGGGUCCGAGUUGUAAUUUGCAGAGGAUGCUUUUGACAAGGUGCCUUCCGAGUUCCCUGGAACGGGACGCCAUAGAGGGUGAGAGCCCCGUCUGGUCGGAUACCGCGUCUCUGUAAAGCUCCUUCGACGAGUC